GGAAUCUUCCACAAUGGGCGCAAGCCUGAUGGAGCAACGCCGCGUGAGUGAAGAAGAUCUUCGGAUCGUAAAACUCUGUUGUUAGAGAAGAACACGAGUGAGAGUAACUGUUCAUUCGAUGACGGUAUCUAACCAGCAAGUCACGGCUAACUACGUGCCAG
RNAcentral lists this ribosomal RNA (161 nucleotides) under uncultured bacterium. RNAcentral's name for it is "partial 16S rRNA". It matches the Rfam family "Bacterial small subunit ribosomal RNA", at positions 358 to 511 of the family's 1533-position model. The record is from RNAcentral.